CCUACGGGUGGCAGCAGUGGGGAAUAUUGCACAAUGGGCGCAAGCCUGAUGCAGCCAUGCCGCGUGUGUGAAGAAGGCCUUCGGGUUGUAAAGCACUUUCAGCGGGGAGGAAGGCGGUGAGGUUAAUAACCUCAUCGAUUGACGUUACCCGCAGAAGAAGCACCGGCUAACUCCGUGCCAGCAGCCGCGGUAAUACGGAGGGUGCAAGCGUUAAUCGGAAUUACUGGGCGUAAAGCGCACGCAGGCGGUCUGUCAAGUCGGAUGUGAAAUCCCCGGGCUCAACCUGGGAACUGCAUUCGAAACUGGCAGGCUAGAGUCUUGUAGAGGGGGGUAGAAUUCCAGGUGUAGCGGUGAAAUGCGUAGAGAUCUGGAGGGAUACCGGUGGCGAAGGCGGCCCCCUGGACAAAGACUGACGCUCAGGUGCGAAAGCGUGGGGAGCAAACAGGAUUAGAUACCCCUGUAGUC
This 465-nucleotide ribosomal RNA is filed under the name uncultured Klebsiella sp. Its description in RNAcentral is "bacterial SSU rRNA". It matches the Rfam family "Bacterial small subunit ribosomal RNA", at positions 338 to 795 of the family's 1533-position model. Lineage: Bacteria; Pseudomonadati; Pseudomonadota; Gammaproteobacteria; Enterobacterales; Enterobacteriaceae. The record is from RNAcentral.